AUUGAACGCUGGCGGAAUGUUUUACACAUGCAAGUCGAACGGCAGCACGGACUUCGGUCUGGUGGCGAGUGGCGAACGGGUGAGUAAUACAUCGGAACGUGCCCAGUCGUGGGGGAUAACGUAGCGAAAGCUACGCUAAUACCGCAUACGAUCUACGGAUGAAAGCGGGGGAUCGCAAGACCUCGCGCGAUUGGAGCGGCCGAUGGCAGAUUAGGUAGUUGGUAUGGUAAAGGCCUACCAAGCCGACGAUCUGUAGCUGGUCUGAGUGGAUGAUCAGCCACACUGGGACUGAGACACGGCCCAGACUCCUACGGGAGGCAGCAGUGGGGAAUUUUGGACAAUGGACGCAAGUCUGAUCCAGCCAUUCCGCGUGCAGGAUGAAGGCCCUCGGGUUGUAAACUGCUUUUGUACAGAACGAAAAGGCUCUGGUUAAUACCUGGGGCUCAUGACGGUACUGUAAGAAUAAGCACCGGCUAACUACGUGCCAGCCGCCGCUGUAA
RNAcentral lists this ribosomal RNA (500 nucleotides) under uncultured bacterium. RNAcentral's name for it is "partial 16S ribosomal RNA". It matches the Rfam family "Bacterial small subunit ribosomal RNA", at positions 30 to 523 of the family's 1533-position model. The record is from RNAcentral.